GGGGGUGUAUUAGAUUCGACACAGGCAGAAGGUGCAUCGGUAGCGAGCCGAGGUCCCGUGCCUCGUUAAACAGCGGGAACCAAAAUAACUGCCGAUCACGCAGAUUACGCUCUGGCUGCUUAAUUAGCGGCCACGCCCCUUUGCAUUUCGCCUACAGGGUGCAAAGAAGGGUGUCAUCGCAUGUAGGCUACUCCGGUCCCACGCCUUUAAGACUGGGGGAAAUUCACAAAGGCUAGCUUACGGUAAAUCGUGCCCUUACGAGUUACCGCAGGCGAAGCUAAAAUAAGGGCUACGCUCGUAGAGACCGGUGUGGCUUUGCUUGUGGACAGCGGUGCAAUUCCGCUCACCUCCACCA
This 355-nucleotide transfer-messenger RNA is filed under the name Limnochordia. Its description in RNAcentral is "DUMW01 sp012839765 Standard tmRNA". It matches the Rfam family "transfer-messenger RNA". From Rfam's summary of the family: Bacterial tmRNA, also known as 10Sa RNA or SsrA, is named for its dual tRNA and mRNA-like properties. RNAcentral also lists the same sequence under 1 other name. The record is from RNAcentral. Lineage: Bacteria; Bacillati; Bacillota.